Molecule: long non-coding RNA, 549 nt
Organism: Portunus trituberculatus (swimming crab)
Lineage: Eukaryota; Metazoa; Arthropoda; Malacostraca; Decapoda; Portunidae
Exons: 3
Source: RefSeq, a predicted model, not a curated record
CAAGGUCUGCCAAAUUGUAGAGGUUUGUGCAUUGCUGCACAACAUCUGCAAAGCAAGAAACAUCAUUCUUCCUGAGGAAGAAGAACAUCUUGCUGCAACCGAGGAUGGAGGCAAUGAGGAGCGACCCCCAGCACAGAAAGUUCAAAGUCGCCAUGAAGGAAUCCUUUACAGGGAUGAAUUUGUUGUGCUUCACUUAAACAUUGAUGAGUGAUGAGACACCAGUGUCAUGACUGCUGAGAUUGGUGUUAAUCUCAUGUGGAUGAUCUCCUCCUCAUCCACAUAGACCAGUGAUGUACCAGGCAAGUCUGGCCCCUGUUGGUGCCACAUCACUGGUGCUGGAAGUGGUGUGGCAGGUGCCUCCUCCUCAACACCCACUGCCUCGGUCACCACUUCUCUCUGUUGGGCUGCCUCUGCCACUUCCCCAGCAUCAUCUGCUGCCUGAACACUGCUGGCAUCAUUAGUUCUAACUUCAGAAACUAAGCUGAUAAUGUUUUUGGUUUUAUUGCUAAGGACAAAAGUAACAGAAACCAGUAAAUCUAGCUAAGGGUA